UACGGAGGGAGCUAGCGUUGUUCGGAAUUACUGGGCGUAAAGCGCACGUAGGCGGCUUUGUAAGUUAGAGGUGAUAGCCUGGAGCUCAACUCCAGAAUUGCCUUUAAGACUGCAUCGCUUGAAUCCAGGAGAGGUGAGUGGAAUUCCGAGUGUAGAGGUGAAAUUCGUAGAUAUUCGGAAGAACACCAGUGGCGAAGGCGUCUCACUNGGACUGGUAUUGACGCUGAGGUGCGAAAGCGUGGGGAGCAAACAGGAUUAGAUA
Molecule: ribosomal RNA, 262 nt
Filed under: uncultured Sphingomonadales bacterium
Lineage: Bacteria; Pseudomonadati; Pseudomonadota; Alphaproteobacteria; Sphingomonadales
Description: partial 16S ribosomal RNA
Rfam family: Bacterial small subunit ribosomal RNA
Source: RNAcentral